AUGGUAGAAUUCCAGGUGUAGCGGUGAAAUGCGUAGAGAUCUGGAGGAAUACCGAUGGCGAAGGCAGCCAUCUGGCCUAAUACUGACACUGAGGUGCGAAAGCAUGGGGAGCAAACAGGAUUAGAUACCCUGGUAGUCCAUGCCGUAAACGAUGUCUACUAGCCGUUGGGGCCCUUGAGGCUUUAGUGGCGCAGCUAACGCGAUAAGUAGACCGCCUGGGGAGUACGGUCGCAAGACUAAAACUCAAAUGAAUUGACGGGGGCCCGCACAAGCGGUGGAGCAUGUGGUUUAAUUCGAUGCAACGCGAAGAACCUUACCUGGCCUUGACAUACAGAGAACUUUCCAGAGAUGGAUUGGUGCCUUCGGGAACUCUGAUACAGGUGCUGCAUGGCUGUCGUCAGCUCGUGUCGUGAGAUGUUGGGUUAAGUCCCGCAACGAGCGCAACCCUUUUCCUUAUUUGCCAGCACUUCGGGUGGGAACUUUAAGGAUACUGCCAGUGACAAACUGGAGGAAGGCGGGGACGACGUCAAGUCAUCAUGGCCCUUACGGCCAGGGCUACACACGUGCUACAAUGGUCGGUACAAAGGGUUGCUACUGCGCGAGCAGAUGCUAAUCUCAAAAAGCCGAUCGUAGUCCGGAUCGCAGUCUGCAACUCGACUGCGUGAAGUCGGAAUCGCUAGUAAUCGCGGAUCAGAAUGCCGCGGUGAAUACGUUCCCGGGCCUUGUACACACCGCCCGUCACACCAUGGGAGUUUGUUGCACCAGAAGUAGGUAGUCUAACCUUAGGGAGGACGCUUACCACGGUGUGGCCGAUGACUGG
Molecule: ribosomal RNA, 820 nt
Filed under: Acinetobacter sp. 378
Lineage: Bacteria; Pseudomonadati; Pseudomonadota; Gammaproteobacteria; Moraxellales; Moraxellaceae
Description: bacterial SSU rRNA
Rfam family: Bacterial small subunit ribosomal RNA
Source: RNAcentral